AGCCAUCAACAAGUUCUCAACCAUAUAAAUACCUAUGAUGAGAAGCAUGAACGGCAUCAAAAAUGAAUAUAAAAAUUUCAUCUCCUUGACGCUAUAAAAGGGUGUGAUACUUCUAUGCAAAUUCUCUUUAAGAAGCGCGGAAGAGAGCUAUGCCACGAAAAUAGAGAUGCAGACGGACAUUUAACGUUGAGGGAGUACUAAGUGCUGAGUGAAACACGAAAGUCUAGAUUUGUUAAUAUGCAACAGGGAAAUUGAAAGCCGUACGGAGAAGCUGUUUGGAAGGAUACUAAGGAAAAUGAAAGGUAUUAAUAGUCAAUGUAGA
Molecule: long non-coding RNA, 322 nt
Organism: Zophobas morio
Lineage: Eukaryota; Metazoa; Arthropoda; Insecta; Coleoptera; Tenebrionidae
Exons: 3
Source: RefSeq, a predicted model, not a curated record